CCGCCUCCCUGGCCGCCCGCCCAUGGCCCAUCCCCUCCCCCAGUUUCUUCCUCACCACGAGCAUCAGCCCCCACCGCCCCCUCCUCCAUUCCCCACUAGCUCCACUCUGCCCACUUCUUCUCUGCCAGUCUUCUCCAUGGAUGGAACAGAGAGAGGCAAGGGGAAGCAAUGCGCCAUGGACGAGGAGACAGAGCUCGAUGUGGAGGAGCAAGUGGGGAAGCUAAUCUGCUUCCAUCCCUGUCCUCUCCGCCGGCAGCCGCGGCCAACGGCCGGCCUGGCUCUGCCCCACCCAUCGACGCCUCGUCGUGUAUGGUGACCGAAAGAUGGCAUCUCUUUAUAAUUUGUGCCUACAAGGUGUUCGGUGAAAAAGCAAUAUGGUUGCACAGAAGGAUUAAUCCAUGUUAUGUGGCCAGCCUCAGAUCGGCUAGAUUGUGCCAAUGGAUGAGGUGCUAUCGUGGGCAUCCGCAUGAGCAUUGUGCAACAUAUCUGUAAGUAAAGGUUGCUUCUGCAAUUAAGAGCUACAUGGCUAUGGCCCGAAGUGAAGGUUCACUUUUGUGUGAAUAGUCUUCUGUACUCCGUCACCAUGGCAGGAGGAGCACAAGGCGGUUUCCCUCGCAUCGGCAAGGUUGUGUGUGCGCUUGAUCGGAGGUCUCUCUCUGUCUCUCUCACGCACUAGGAAGUUCAUUGAUGUUUGUUUUAUCUAUUGAACAAAUAUAUUCCCAGUUAACCCAUCGAUUAUAUGAAGCUUUAUUUUCUGAAUUAUUGCUAGUGCAGAUACUGGAGAAUGACACCUUCCAAUAUGUUCUAUUUGCGAACUACAUAGAGGGCACAAAGGUGGGGUGUCACUGUAUACCGUCACCGAAUGAGAAGGGAUAACCAAAUCACCAAAGUCACUCCAAUGCCGCUGCUAGCUACUGCUUCCCUGAGCAGCAAGCUCAUAUUUCCUAUAUUGUUUCUGAAAUGCACGGUCUCUCUACUAAUGGCAUGAUGUUUUCUAUCUUCAUGUGGCUAGCACCUUUCUCAAACAAUUAUUUAAUUGUAAAGGUAAACAAUAUUAUAUGCAUUCUUAUUGUGUACUACUGUUUUUCUAAUUAAUGAACUGAUCGGCAAUACAUAUUUUGGAUUUUAUGUGAUAAAUCUCACAACAAUCAUAAACUGCGUCCAGUGGACAAAAUGCAUGGCACUGCUAUUUUAUACGGCUAUUCGGUUUUCCUGAAUUUUUUCAUAACCAAGGGUCAACAUAGACAUAAGAGUUCAUCAUAUUUCCAUGUUAUAGACAUAACAAAGUUCAUCUUCAGCAUUAUUUUGGUACUGACAUGCUGAAGAGUAUACCAUAGUUUGAUUAAAUGAAUUUUCGCUGAAGAAAUAAGAACACUGUAAAUGAAUGUUUGUCAAAGAAAAAAAACAGUGAGUAAAUGAAUAUUUCCCUGCAAAGAAAUUAAUGAAUGUUUUAGGACCUAACAUGCCUGAUAAGUUUGUCUUGCAGCCUGAUUGAAGCAAUCAGGCUUUGGAUGUCACUAGGGAGAUAGACAAACAGAUAGGGAGUUUCUUAUUCGCCCCUUAAGAUUGAUAGCUGCUUCGUCAACAUUGUCUGCUUUGGGACUUCAACAUUUCUUAACAAAUAGGAAUUUCUAUCUACCUCUCAAACAUAGACCUUAUACAUACCCCCUGCCAACAGACUCAAUUCUUAUUGCCACUCCUAACCAGAUAACUAAGUCUGAAUGGAUACAAUGUAUAAUUUAGUGUUGACCCUAAACAAUGGCAGCUGCACUUCUAAUAUUGACACUUUUAGCCUGCUCAUACACAUUUUUGUAAUCGGGUAAAUCAACUGACAUAGUAAGAAAACAUAAAUUAUAGACAGGGCAUGACUCCCUUUUGUUCCUGAUCAUCAAACCUGCAUACCCAGAGCGACUAGAUGAAAUAAGCUACCAGUUAGACUCACUUCAUUGCUACACACAAGGAUAUAUGUCAGUUAUUUCAUAUGGACCUCCUGCCUGAUUUUUUUAUGCAUGUGCGAAUGCAUUUGGCAGUCUCACUAGCCUCAACCUAGAGAAUUUGAGAUUUGGUGAAUCAGACAUAUCCAACUUUCUCAUCACUUGCAAGCUGUUGAAGGAUCUACAUUUGUUCAAUUGUGACUGAUAAUCCCAGCACAUUGCAAAUUUGGGUGGAGCCAGAAUGUCCAAUGGAAAUUCUUGCAUCCUUCCGCCAACUAUAAGGUGCACUUCAGGAGCGUGUGUCAUGCACGACGCCAUUAGAUCAUCUGCAGCUUCCAAACUCGACAUUACAAAAGACCAGCGUUCCGAUUGCUGAGAACCUGGCGGUGUUCCGAGCAAUCAAGUACAUGCAAUAUUUGCAAAAAAACACUAAAGGGAUGUCAGCUUUUGGUGAUGCAAUAGCAGCUAUUAGGUGUUCAUUUUCUGUUCGGGUGUCGUGUCCUCUAAAUACAAUGUCCUUUCUUGAUUGUCCUACAUAUGAAGUAGGUUCCUGUUGCAAACAAUCCCUGUGCAACUUAUGUAGAUGUUAUUUUUGUCAUCAUUCUUGCUCGGUUGUUUCUAUAUUUUCUUUUCGAACACUUGAGUGCUCGGUGGCAUCUAUAUUUCCUUUUCGAAUCACCAACUGCAGUGUGCUUUAAA
Molecule: RNA transcript, 2633 nt
Organism: Lolium rigidum
Lineage: Eukaryota; Viridiplantae; Streptophyta; Magnoliopsida; Poales; Poaceae
Exons: 9
Source: RefSeq, a predicted model, not a curated record